RNAcentral lists this non-coding RNA (167 nucleotides) under bovine gut metagenome. Its description in RNAcentral is "Lysine riboswitch". It matches the Rfam family "Lysine riboswitch aptamer". From Rfam's summary of the family: Riboswitches are metabolite binding domains within certain messenger RNAs that serve as precision sensors for their corresponding targets. Allosteric rearrangement of mRNA structure is mediated by ligand binding, and this results in modulation of gene expression. The record is from RNAcentral.
AUCGGUAGAGGAUGCGGCCGACAUCAGUAAGCGCGCAGAGCACGGACAGCUUUGACGCGCGCCGAAAGGGGACGCCGCCGAGGUUUGCGUUUUUCGUCCGGGGAACGCAUGCCGGGGCUUUCGUCAACAGCGGAAGAACUGUCACAUUUUUGUGGAGAGCUAUCUGA